This 27-nucleotide unclassified non-coding RNA is filed under the name Mus musculus (house mouse). RNAcentral's name for it is "oocyte_clustered_small_RNA7385". The record is from RNAcentral. Lineage: Eukaryota; Metazoa; Chordata; Mammalia; Rodentia; Muridae.
UCGGACACCCAAGAACUCACGACAGAC